GCGGCCGUGGUGUAGCCUGGUAGCACGUCGGCCUUCCAAGCCGGAGAUCCCGGGUUCAAAUCCCGGCGGCCGCA
This 74-nucleotide transfer RNA is filed under the name Candidatus Geothermarchaeota archaeon. RNAcentral's name for it is "tRNA-Gly". It matches the Rfam family "tRNA". From Rfam's summary of the family: Transfer RNA (tRNA) molecules are approximately 80 nucleotides in length. Their secondary structure includes four short double-helical elements and three loops (D, anti-codon, and T loops). Further hydrogen bonds mediate the characteristic L-shaped molecular structure. tRNAs have two regions of fundamental functional importance: the anti-codon, which is responsible for specific mRNA codon recognition, and the 3' end, to which the tRNAs corresponding amino acid is attached (by aminoacyl-tRNA synthetases). tRNAs cope with the degeneracy of the genetic code in two manners: having more than one tRNA (with a specific anti-codon) for a particular amino acid; and 'wobble' base-pairing, i.e. permitting non-standard base-pairing at the 3rd anti-codon position. RNAcentral also lists the same sequence under 2 other names. The record is from RNAcentral. Lineage: Archaea; Thermoproteati; Candidatus Geothermarchaeota.